This 31-nucleotide non-coding RNA is filed under the name Trypanosoma vivax. Lineage: Eukaryota; Euglenozoa; Kinetoplastea; Trypanosomatida; Trypanosomatidae. The record is from RNAcentral.
AGAAAAUCCAUUAUCAAUUGCAAGAUCGUAU